AUACGCACUCAAAUAGGCUUACAAAACAAUACUAAUCAUUUGAAGUAUGCACACUGUAAGAAAGUGUUAAUACACUUUGCAAGUGUAGGCCUAUUCCUUUCAAUAGUAAAGCAAUUUUCCAGACGGCAAUGCAGAGAAUAAAAUAGGGUGAUGCGCAAUACCGAUCAAAUUGCAAUGUCAUAUAACAUGGUUUCACCAGAAUCAAAAGCGAAACUAAACUGAUAGGCUUCCCGCUACCGCACCUACAGUGAAUAGAUGUUUUGUUCGUCAUUUGAAGUUGUUCGGGCAGGAUGGCAGAAGCCUACGCAUUUUCCCUGCUUGUUGAGUUGGAGGGGAAUCCCAAUAUUCCCAAACUGAAAAACAAGUUGGUAAAAUAUUUCCAAAGUAAAAAGUCUAAUGGUGGUGAUUGUCUUGUGGAAUACGAAGAUGGACAAGAAGCAGUAGUGCGGUUCAAAACGGAGGAGGUCAGGCAUAGAGUUCUUGAGAAGCAGGAGCACGAGAUCAGGUUGGAUCGAGGGGUGCUGAAACUGAUCAUUCGUCUGCCAUCAGAUGAUGUCCCAAAGAGUGCACAGGAAACACAGUCUCCUAUCACCUCAGCUGCUACUGAUUCAAAAGACUUACCAAAGAGCGGGGUUGGAGAUGGACACACUCCCCUUACUGAGCCACAGACAGAGAUGGAGAUUGAACCGAUGGAAGUCGAGGAAAAGCUGGUGUCCACCUCAGCCGUGUUGGGGAACAUUGAGGAGAGCAUGAACAAGGAGUUCCUGGAGAUGCUGAUAGAGAACAUCCUGAGUGCGUAUAACACCUCUGGUUCUGACUCUCCUACUGCAACACAGACCUUCAGUUUGGAGAUCCUGACACCUGUCCUAGACACCGGCCUGGCUGUGGUGACUUUCCAAAAUGGAAAAGAGACUGAGAACUUCAUCACCAGCUGCACCAGCAACAGGAUGUUCAGACAGAAACAACUAUCUGUUAAACUCCUGGAACUCACCACAAAAGUGAAAGUUGAAAACAUAAAUCCAAAUGUUAGUUCAGACCACCUCCAACUGUUAUUUGGAAAAGGGGGCGAGGAGGUGGAAGACACUGAAAUGAAUGAAGAGGACCAAUCAGCAAUCCUCACCUUUCAAGAUCCUAAAGCUGUUCACAGAGUCCUAGAGAAACCACAUUACAUCGAGAAGCAGCCUCUCAAGGCUUUCCCCUUCUAUGAUUCUCUGGGAACGGCCUUGUAUGGCAAAGACAGACCCACAUUGAAACUCCCUUCUGCUUUCACUGAAAACAUAAACCACGCAAUUUGGAGAUACCUCUGUGACAACCAGGAAGCUGCAGAGACCAUCCACAAGGAAAUGACCAAACACUUCUGCAAUGUAGACUUCCAACAACCUACCAUCAAGUUAAGCCCACUGCCAUCUCUACUCAAACAGACGGGUGUGAAACCCAAGCACUUACAACAAUGGAAGGACACCACCAAAGUUGCCUUAAUCCAAGCCUUGUCUAACUUUAAGUCAUUGGAGCUCCAGGUUCAGGACACUGCAUGGGAAGAGUCUGAAGGGGAGAUCCUCAAGGCGGUGUCUGGGGAGGCCGUGAUGGUAGUCCAUGAAGAGACCAGAGGUGUUCUGGCAGUGGUAGGAUUGGUAGAAGAUGUGGACCGGCUCAGGCAGACACUGGAUGGGAUCAUGGACAGGAUUUCUAGAAGAAUCGAGAGGGAGAAGACGAGCAUAACAGAGGAGUUCCCUCUGGUUCCAUCAAUCUACCAGGUACUGUUGCAUGGUGGCCUGCUGGACAAGAUUGUUGGUGAAUUCCCAGACUUGAAGCUGACGUAUAAUCAAGAGAGCCAGAGUGUGACCAUCUAUGGGUUGAUGCAAGAGGUGUUGUGUGCUAACAGAAAGCUUGCAGGUGAAGUAGUAGCCCUGAAACGAAAGCUGGUGGAAUUGGAUGAAUACGUCCUUGAGUUCCUGCAGGAAGAAAGCCAGGAAAAGCUAACCAGUUCCCUUCUCACCUUACAGAGCAUCAAUGCAGCACUAGAAAUAGAGAGAAAAGGAGUGCAGCUUCUGGCUGUCUCUGAGGAGGCCCUGUGCGAAGCAGAACAUCAACUGCAUACGCUUUUGAUUUCUCAAUACAUAGAUGUAGAAGACUCCGAUCUCCUGAGGAUGUCCGAGUGGAAGGAUAUUGCCAACCGUUUUGAGGAAGCGUCAAACACUCCUUUCAGGAAAGUUAUGGUCCAGACAUCAGGUGCCUAUUCAGGACAACAAGUGGUAGUGUCUGGCUACAAGGAAACUGUUCUCUUAGUCCGAAAUGAAUUGGAUGAUUUCUUACACAAAAAUGCUCAUGUUGAUGAAACUAUCGAAGUUAAGCCUGAGGCUAUUGGUAAAUUCAUCCAGGAACAACACAGGGAUGCUUGGUCUGAUAAAGUCAAAGAUAGUGGAGUUAAAGUUUCUUUCAAGGAUGAGGCUAUUUACCUGAGUGGCACCAGAGUUCACGUAGCAGAUUGCAAGGCAUUAUUCGAAAACUUGGUAUCCUCCACAUUCUUUGACGCCUUGAGAAUCUCCAAGCCUGGAGCAAAGAAGUUCUUCCAGGACAAUGAGCCCAUGUAUGCUGACACAGUCAUGAAUCAGACAGGCUGUGUGGUCCAGCUGAUUGAAGAAGAGUAUGAUGCCAAUGGCGGACAAGGCAUAAAGCUAGCAGGAGGAGGAAUGAAACCUACCUACCAGCUUCAAACACCUGAUGGGGUGGAGAUAGCCGUUUGCAAAGCAGACAUGUGCAAAUAUUCUGUUCACGCUGUUGUCAAUGCUGCCGCCCUGGACCUGAAGCACAGUGGAGGUCUUGCAGGAGCUCUUCUGGAUACUGCUGGCCCUCAACUGCAGGAUGAGUGCAACCAGAUCAUCAAGAACAAGGGUCAGCUCAAGCCAGGGGACAGUGUCAUCACUGGUGCAGGAGGGAAGCUCCGCUGCAAGCACAUCAUUCAUGCAGUGGGACCCAGGUUUGACCAGGCAAACCCCCAGAAGGCCAUGGGACAGUUGAGGAGGGCGGUGAAAGGGAGUCUGGAUCUAGCAGAGACCCACAACUGCCUGUAUGUGGCUCUUCCUGCUAUUAGCUCUGGGAAUCUAGGCUUUCCUCUGACCCUGUGUGCAGACACCAUCGUCAAAGCAGUUAAAGAACACUGUGACGACAAAUUUGGGGACAAUACUCUGAAGAAGAUCCAUCUGGUGAACAAUGAUGACAAGACAGUCCAGGCUAUGGAGGCAGCGGUGCUGAAGGUGUUUGGGAGCCAUGGAACUAGUCAUCCACGAGAGAAUCGACCCACCAUAGCUACACACAGCCAGCCUGGUAAUCGGGUUCAACGCACAAGUGGUUCAAGUGGGAAGACAAAAGAGGGGCUGGCUAUUACCCUGACGAAAGGGAAUAUCCAAGAUGCUGUGACAGAAGUUGUGGUCAACACCGUGGGUGAUGACCUAGCACUUAACCAUGGUGCAGUCUCCAAGGCCAUCCUCGCCGCUGCUGGCCCCCAACUUCAGACUCUGGUAAACCAACAGGGCACAGCCGGAAGGGCUGGGGAAGUCAUUGUCACCACUGGCUGCAACCUGAAGUGCAAGCGGGUGUUUCAUACCAUCGCCCCUCACUGGGACAAUGGACAAGGAGCACCACAGAAGAUAUUGAGCAGGAUCGUGAAAGAGUGCUUGGAUGAGGCAGAGGAUCAGGGACUCAUCUCGAUCACCUUCCCUGCCAUCGGCACGGGAAACCUGGGCUUCCCCAAAGACCUGGUGGCCUCUCUGAUGCUGGAUGAAGUCCUCAAGUUUAGCAGUAAGAAGAACCCCAAACACCUGAAGGAGGUGGUCUUCAUCCUCCACCCAGGUGAUGCACCGACGAUCCAGGCUUUCACUGAUGAAUUUAACAAAAGGUUCAAAACCCAGUCGGGAACGUCAAGGGGCUCAGCAGCAUCCAGUCAACAGAGUAAAGGCCCUUUCUCUAAAAUCACUUCAAGCUCAGGGAUGCACGAGAUGAAGAUGGGAGGGGUGCUUAUACAGGUCAUCACAGGAGACAUCACCAAGGAGACCACUGAUGUCAUCGUCAACUCCUCCAAUGACACCUUCAGUCUCCAGUCAGGGGUAUCUAAGGCCAUUCUGGAUGUGGCUGGUCAGACUGUGGUAGCGGAAUGCCAACAACUCGGAGCCCAGCCUAACAAUGGAGUGAUACUUACCCAGCCGGGCAACAUGCGGUGUAAGAAGAUCAUCCACGUGGUUGGUCAGACGGACCCAAAGAAGAUCCAGGAGUCGGUCAAAGGAGCACUGCAAAUGUGUGCACAGAAUAACCUCACAUCCAUCUCCUUCCCUGCUCUUGGCACAGGUCAGGGCAAUGUACAGGCGGGCCAGGUGGCUGACGCCAUGUUGGAUGCUGUUGUGGAGGUGGUGGGUCAGAAGUCCCAAAACACACUGCAGCUGGUCAGGAUGGUCAUCUUCCAGCCUGCCAUGCUCACAGAGUUCCACAAAUCUAUGGUGAAGAAAGAGGGCACAGACGUUGACACUCAAAAGAAGGGGAGCAUCUGGGGAAAAAUUAAAUCGUUGUUAACCUGGGGUAAAGCUGACAUGCCACAAAAGGAUGAGGAUUUUGUCAUCGAGGGCCAGCAAGUAGAUCCAGCUUUCUUCCAUAUCUGCGGUGGAUCUCAGGCCAGAGUGGACCAAGCCAAGCGUUGGAUCAAGGACCUGAUCCUGAAGGAGCAAGUCAGCAACAGCAUCACCGAUGACGCCAUCCUCAACUUGUCUGACUCUGACCGUAAGUGCAUCCACGAAAUCCAGACCACCAUGGGAGUGAGUGUGAGGAUAGAAUACAAUUCGUCCAGGGAGGAAGCUAUGCUCACGAUCGAGGGCCUUAGCAAGGAUGUCCUCAAUGCAGUCAACGAGAUCCAGAAGAUGCUGAGGAAGGCCAGGGACAAAGAGACCUUCAACAGGAACGUGGAAGUGGCCAGCAACAUGGUGGAGUGGCAGUAUCAGCAGCAGCCAGGGGGGCAGUACCAGAGCUUUGACCCCAUCCCCAACUUCCAUCUGGAGCAGGCACUGGAGAGGAAGUUGCCCCACGUAGAGGUCUCUUUCCAGGGGAAGAUGUACACGGUCACCCUGCCUGACGGGCCUGCUACAGAUACCAAUGGCAACAGCCUCAAAAUUAGACGCAUCGACAAGUUGGCAGCUCAACCCAUUGACAGUCUCCCUCAGCAUUGGGAUGCCAUGCCAGCAAACACAUCAUGCCAUUCCUGCCUCAUUCAGCCAGGAAGCCCAGAGCACAAUGAAGUCUUAAACUUGUUCCGAGCCACCUGCCCCAACAUCGUUUUAAAGAUUGAGAGGAUCCAGAACCCAAGCCUGUGGAGGAACCUCCAGAUCAAGAAGAAUGAAAUGGAGCUCAGGAAUGGUCAUAAGAACAACGAGAAGAGGCUCUUCCAUGGAAUGUGCCACACAACCAUUAAUCACAUCAACCACCAUGGCUCCAAUCGGAGCUAUGCUGGAAAAAAUGAUGACCCAGCUGUGUCCGGAACUGUAAGGCGUCCCCCCAUGAUGAGGGGCUAUGAGAGAUGAUGAAGCAGCAGGUUCCGAAAGGGAGACCGACACACUGUUUUCCACCGUAGGAGUUGGGGACCAUGGACCAAUGGGGUUUCCAAUCCCGACAGAUCCUGUACGGACUCGGGAGAGGCGAAGGUCGAGAGCCAUGCAUCCUCCGAAAAACCCAACCAAGCCGCACUACUUCUUGACACAAUGCCCACUUAACCCGGGAAGACAGCCGCACCAAUGUGUCAGAGGAAACACAGUACACCUGGCGACCGGCCCACCACAGGAGUCACUAGUGCGCGAUGGGACAAGGACAUCCCUGCCGGCCAAACCCUCAUGACGCUGGGCCAAGUGUGCGCCGCCCCAUGGGUCUCCCGGUCAGAGCCGGCUGGACUCAAAUCCAGAAUCUCCAGUGUCACUGCGUCACUCGGGAGGCCCCGUACAACAAGUUAAUUUGACGGUAACACAUCUCUGGUGGGAUUUUUUUAUAUUUGCAUGAAAUCUGUUGCCAAUUGGAUGGAAACCUAGCAAAUAAUUAAUUUGUAGAUAUUGAAUUUUGACAUCAAUGCCUUUAGUUAUAUUAAAUCCAUGACACUCCUGGGAUGCAUCACAAAUGGGACCCUUUUAUAGUGCACUAAUGUUGACGAGGGCUCUGGUCAGAAGUAGUGCAUUAUUUUAUGUAUUUAUGUUUUUGAAAUUUUGCAGACUGAAAUCUCUUGAGAUUGAAGAAGGUUAAACCAAGGCCUUACCUCUUUAAAGGGAUAAUAAAUUAUGUUAUGAUAAACUGCAAGGUCUCCUCUUCAGGAGGAGGUCUCCUCUUCAACCUGUAUUUGAGGUUUGUGACCUUCAGACACUAUCAGAAGGCGUCUAUGUUCAGACUCCUGUCUGGAUCCCACCGUGAUUAUCUGGUUUUCCGAGAACACAAGGCUACCACAGACCUGAUGAAACCAGCCACCUGCCAGAAGAUGCUUACGCUUGUUCACAUUGUUAUAACUCUAUACUUGUGAUGAAAAGUCAAGUUUCGGUCAAACCCACUUCUGAAUUUUGAAUUGCUGAUAAGAUGGUUCCUGCUGUCAGGGGGAGGUUAGAUUAAUUAAAAUGUUGUUGCUAGGGAAAGUUACAUAAGGGGGAUUGGGGAGGCUAUAUGAGUUACAGAAUGUCUUAGACAUUUUGCAGAACUUGGGGAUAACUAUCAUACACUAUUAUACUGUAGUCUGUAUCAACUUCUGCCUACAAUUGUAUUACUAAAAGGAGUAUUUUAAUACUUAAA
Salmo salar (Atlantic salmon) is the source of this 6801-nucleotide RNA transcript. It is a transcript of the gene named poly(ADP-ribose) polymerase family member 14-related sequence 1, with no coding region annotated. The record is from RefSeq and is a predicted model, not a curated record. Lineage: Eukaryota; Metazoa; Chordata; Actinopteri; Salmoniformes; Salmonidae.